UAGAGUUUGAUCCUGGCUCAGGACGAACGCUGGCGGCGUGCUUAACACAUGCAAGUCGAGCGGUAAGGCCCUUUCGGGGUACACGAGCGGCGAACGGGUGAGUAACACGUGGGUGACCUGCCCUCCACUUCGGGAUAAGCCUGGGAAACUGGGUCUAAUACCGGAUAUGACCAUGGGAUGCAUGUUCUGUGGUGGAAAGUUUUUCGGUGGGGGAUGGGCCCGCGGUCUAUCAGCUUGUUGGUGGGGUGAUGGCCUACCAAGGCGACGACGGAUAGCCGGCCUGAGAGGGUGAUCGGCCACACUGGGACUGAGACACGGCCCAGACUCCUACGGGAGGCAGCAGUGGGGAAUCUUGCGCAAUGGGCGGAAGCCUGACGCAGCAACGCCGCGUGAGGGAUGACGGCCUUCGGGUUGUAAACCUCUUUCGCGAUCGACGAAGCUCCAGUUUUUGCUGGGGUGACGGUAGGUCGAGAAGAAGCACCGGCCAACUACGUGCCAGCAGCCGCGGUAAUACGUAGGGUGCGAGCGUUGUCCGGAAUUAUUGGGCGUAAAGAGCUCGUAGGCGGUGUGUCGCGUCGGCCGUGAAAACCUGGGGCUUAACUCUGGGCGUGCGGUCGAUACGGGCAUCACUAGAGUUCGGCAGGGGAGACUGGAAUUCCUGGUGUAGCGGUGAAAUGCGCAGAUAUCAGGAGGAACACCGGUGGCGAAGGCGGGUCUCUGGGCCGAUACUGACGCUGAGGAGCGAAAGCAUGGGUAGCGAACAGGAUUAGAUACCCUGGUAGUCCAUGCCGUAAACGUUGGGCGCUAGGUGUGGGGUCCAUUCCACGGGUUCCGUGCCGCAGCUAACGCAUUAAGCGCCCCGCCUGGGGAGUACGGCCGCAAGGCUAAAACUCAAAGGAAUUGACGGAAUCG
This 912-nucleotide ribosomal RNA is filed under the name uncultured bacterium. RNAcentral describes it as "bacterial SSU rRNA". It matches the Rfam family "Bacterial small subunit ribosomal RNA", at positions 1 to 921 of the family's 1533-position model. The record is from RNAcentral.